CUAUUUUUAGGUUAUAAUGGAAAAUUGGAAUAAGAAACUUUGUACAGCUUCUAGGAAGGGAGAUAUAGAAGAUGUGAAAAUAUGCCUAGAGAAUAAAGCAGACAUUGAUUAUCAAGAUGGUUAUGGAGGGACAGCAUUAAUGGAGGCUGCCAGGGAAGGACACCUGGAGGUCUGUCGUCUUCUCAUUGAUAGAGGAUGUAAGAUCGAC
Molecule: long non-coding RNA, 208 nt
Organism: Mytilus trossulus (common blue mussel)
Lineage: Eukaryota; Metazoa; Mollusca; Bivalvia; Mytilida; Mytilidae
Exons: 3
Source: RefSeq, a predicted model, not a curated record